CCCAAGGUCCAUGUAAGUGCAGCUGCCCAGGACUCCCCUUGCUGUCCAGACAUAGGCUCUCCUACCUGCUUCCAACUUCAGUUCUGUGGCAUUUCCAGGAAAUAUGGGUAGUUAACACAUAACCAUGCUCAAUGAGAGCCAACCUGUGGCUGUGCGGCCCUUUCUCGGCACGUGGCCCAAGCCUGUGCUGGGUCUACGCAGUGAAGUACAAGAUUUAUCUUAAUUCCAAGGCCAGAAUUCAGGUACCAGAAAUGGGUACUUUGCCCAGAUCAUCCCUGACAAAAAUAUUUGCCUAUUAACACAAUCUUACUACAACUAAAUAGAAAACAAAAACUGUUGACCUAUAAGAUAAAUGAAUCUUUCAAAGCAUUAUUUGGUUGCUCUACCUGAAGAAUACUAAAUUGUAACCCAGUCAUCCAGCAUGAGACUCUACCUGUAAACCUCGAAGGCUUAUUCCUGCCUAGAGCCCCAGGGAAGCAGCUUCCACCUCCACAUUCCAAGCUGCCAUGGAAACAACAAUGCUGCCUAUUCCACUACAGGCUUUGCGAGACUCCUCUGAAGACCUCCCUCCAGAGUCCACAGUUGCGAGACUCCUCUGAAGACCCCUAUCCAGAGUCCACAGUUGCGAGACUCCUCUGAAGACCCCUCUCCAGAGUCCACAGUUGACUUCCUCCUCAGAGUCCUACCACAGGAUUAAUUCCUGAAAUCUUUCCCAAAUCCAAACGUUAAGCAUUAUCUACAUCAGUCAAUGUCCUACUAAAAGUUUCCAUUACACAUGCUAUAAAUUUUGACUGAUGAAAACUAAAAA
RNAcentral lists this long non-coding RNA (808 nucleotides) under Homo sapiens (human). RNAcentral describes it as "HSALNT0331683". The record is from RNAcentral. Lineage: Eukaryota; Metazoa; Chordata; Mammalia; Primates; Hominidae.